AUUGAACGCUGGCGGCAGGCCUAACACAUGCAAGUCGAACGGUAACAGGAAACCGCUUGCUGUUUCGCUGACGAGUGGCGGACGGGUGAGUAAUGUCUGUGAAACUGCCUGAUGGAGGGGGAUAACUACUGGAAACGGUAGCUAAUACCGCAUAACGUCGCAAGACCAAAGAGGGGGACCUUCGGGCCUCUUUCCAUCGGAUGUGCCCAGAUGGGAUUAGCUAGUAGGUGGGGUAACGGCUCACCUAGGCGACGAUCCCUAGCUGGUCUGAGAGGAUGACCAGCCACACUGGAACUGAGACACGGUCCAGACUCCUACGGGAGGCAGCAGUGGGGAAUAUUGCACAAUGGGAGAAAGCCUGAUGCAGCCAUGCCGCGUGUAUGAAGAAGGCCUUCGGGUUGUAAAGUACUUUCAGCGGGGAUGAAGGGAGUAAAGUUAAUACCUUUGCUCAUUGACGUUACCCGCAGAAGAAGCACCGGCUAACUACGUG
Molecule: ribosomal RNA, 490 nt
Filed under: uncultured bacterium
Lineage: Bacteria
Description: partial 16S ribosomal RNA
Rfam family: Bacterial small subunit ribosomal RNA
Source: RNAcentral